UGACAAAGCUUGACCUUUACCUUUUGUAGU
RNAcentral lists this non-coding RNA (30 nucleotides) under Mus musculus (house mouse). The record is from RNAcentral. Lineage: Eukaryota; Metazoa; Chordata; Mammalia; Rodentia; Muridae.